Molecule: ribosomal RNA, 1409 nt
Filed under: Acinetobacter baumannii
Lineage: Bacteria; Pseudomonadati; Pseudomonadota; Gammaproteobacteria; Moraxellales; Moraxellaceae
Description: partial 23S ribosomal RNA
Rfam family: Bacterial large subunit ribosomal RNA
Source: RNAcentral
GAGAUCUGAUAGCAAGCUGUACUUGUACAGCGAAGUGGUUGAUGCCAUGCUUCCAGGAAAAGUCUCUAAGCUUCAGUUACACAGGAAUCGUACCCGAAACCGACACAGGUGGUCAGGUCGAGUAGACCAAGGCGCUUGAGAGAACUCUGCUGAAGGAACUAGGCAAAAUGGUACCGUAACUUCGGGAGAAGGUACGCUGUUGUUGGUGAUGGAACUCGCUUCCUGAGCUGACGACAGCCGCAGAAACCAGGCCGCUGCAACUGUUUAUUAAAAACAUAGCACUCUGCAAACACGAAAGUGGACGUAUAGGGUGUGAUGCCUGCCCGGUGCUGGAAGGUUAAUUGAUGGGGUUAGCGUAAGCGAAGCUCUUGAUCGAAGCCCCAGUAAACGGCGGCCGUAACUAUAACGGUCCUAAGGUAGCGAAAUUCCUUGUCGGGUAAGUUCCGACCUGCACGAAUGGCAUAAUGAUGGCGGCGCUGUCUCCAGCAGAGGCUCAGUGAAAUCGAAAUCGCUGUGAAGAUGCAGUGUACCCGCGGCUAGACGGAAAGACCCCGUGAACCUUUACUGCAGCUUGACACUGAACUUUGACCUUACUUGUGUAGGAUAGGUGGGAGGCUUUGAAGCUGGAACGCUAGUUCCAGUGGAGCCGUCCUUGAAAUACCACCCUGGUAAUGUUGAGGUUCUAACUCUGUCCCGUGAUCCGGGACGAGGACCGUGUCUGGUGGGUAGUUUGACUGGGGCGGUCUCCUCCUAAAGAGUAACGGAGGAGUACGAAGGUGCGCUCAGCGUGGUCGGAAAUCACGCGUAGAGUAUAAAGGCAAAAGCGCGCUUAACUGCGAGACCCACAAGUCGAGCAGGUACGAAAGUAGGUCUUAGUGAUCCGGUGGUUCUGUAUGGAAGGGCCAUCGCUCAACGGAUAAAAGGUACUCUGGGGAUAACAGGCUGAUACCGCCCAAGAGUUCAUAUCGACGGCGGUGUUUGGCACCUCGAUGUCGGCUCAUCUCAUCCUGGGGCUGAAGCAGGUCCCAAGGGUAUGGCUGUUCGCCAUUUAAAGAGGUACGCGAGCUGGGUUUAGAACGUCGUGAGACAGUUCGGUCCCUAUCUACCGUGGGCGCUGGAAAUUUGAGAGGAUCUGCUCCUAGUACGAGAGGACCAGAGUGGACGAACCUCUGGUGUACCGGUUGUGACGCCAGUCGCAUCGCCGGGUAGCUAUGUUCGGAAGGGAUAACCGCUGAAAGCAUCUAAGCGGGAAGCCUACCUCAAGAUAAGAUUUCCCUAGGACUUUAUGUCCUCUAAAGAGCCGUUCGAGACUAGGACGUUGAUAGGUUGGAUGUGGAAGCAUAGUGAUAUGUGAAGCUGACCAAUACUAAUUGCUCGUGAGGCUUGACUAUACAACACCCAAGCAGUUG